GCCGGUGUAGCUCAAUUGGCAGAGCACCCGACUUGUAAUCGGGAGGUUGUGGAUUCGAGUUCCCCCACCGGCUCCA
This 76-nucleotide transfer RNA is filed under the name Bacillota bacterium. RNAcentral's name for it is "Firmicutes bacterium (anaerobic digester metagenome) tRNA-Thr". It matches the Rfam family "tRNA". From Rfam's summary of the family: Transfer RNA (tRNA) molecules are approximately 80 nucleotides in length. Their secondary structure includes four short double-helical elements and three loops (D, anti-codon, and T loops). Further hydrogen bonds mediate the characteristic L-shaped molecular structure. tRNAs have two regions of fundamental functional importance: the anti-codon, which is responsible for specific mRNA codon recognition, and the 3' end, to which the tRNAs corresponding amino acid is attached (by aminoacyl-tRNA synthetases). tRNAs cope with the degeneracy of the genetic code in two manners: having more than one tRNA (with a specific anti-codon) for a particular amino acid; and 'wobble' base-pairing, i.e. permitting non-standard base-pairing at the 3rd anti-codon position. The record is from RNAcentral. Lineage: Bacteria; Bacillati; Bacillota.